CCUACGGGAGGCUGCAGUGAGGAAUAUUGGUCAAUGGACGAGAGUCUGAACCAGCCAAGUAGCGUGAAGGAUGACUGCCCUAUGGGUUGUAAACUUCUUUUAUAAAGGAAUAAAACGAGGCACGUGUGCCUUUUUGUAUGUACCUUAUGAAUAAGGAUCGGCUAACUCCGUGCCAGCAGCCGCGGUAAUACGGAGGAUCCGAGCGUUAUCCGGAUUUAUUGGGUUUAAAGGGAGCGUAGAUGGGUUGUUAAGUCAGUUGUGAAAGUUUGCGGCUCAACCGUAAAAUUGCAAUUGAUACUGGCAGUCUUGAGUACAGUUGAGGUAGGCGGAAUUCGUGGUGUAGCGGUGAAAUGCUUAGAUAUCACGAAGAACCCCGAUUGCGAAGGCAGCUUACUAAACUGUAACUGACAUUGAUGCUCGAAAGUGUGGGUAUCAAACAGGAUUAGAUACCCUAGUAGUC
This 460-nucleotide ribosomal RNA is filed under the name uncultured bacterium. Its description in RNAcentral is "partial 16S ribosomal RNA". It matches the Rfam family "Bacterial small subunit ribosomal RNA", at positions 338 to 795 of the family's 1533-position model. The record is from RNAcentral.